This 614-nucleotide ribosomal RNA is filed under the name uncultured bacterium. RNAcentral's name for it is "bacterial SSU rRNA". It matches the Rfam family "Bacterial small subunit ribosomal RNA", at positions 268 to 899 of the family's 1533-position model. The record is from RNAcentral.
CCAAGGCGACGAUCGGUAGCCGGACUGAGAGGUUGAACGGCCACAUUGGGACUGAGACACGGCCCAGACUCCUACGGGAGGCAGCAGUGGGGAAUAUUGCACAAUGGGGGAAACCCUGAUGCAGCGACGCCGCGUGGAGGAAGAAGGUCUUCGGAUUGUAAACUCCUGUUGUUGAGGAAGAUAAUGACGGUACUCAACAAGGAAGUGACGGCUAACUACGUGCCAGCAGCCGCGGUAAAACGUAGGUCACAAGCGUUGUCCGGAAUUACUGGGUGUAAAGGGAGCGCAGGCGGGAAGACAAGUUGGAAGUGAAAUCCAUGGGCUCAACCCAUGAACUGCUUUCAAAACUGUUUUUCUUGAGUAGUGCAGAGGUAGGCGGAAUUCCCGGUGUAGCGGUGGAAUGCGUAGAUAUCGGGAGGAACACCAGUGGCGAAGGCGGCCUACUGGGCACCAACUGACGCUGAGGCUCGAAAGUGUGGGUAGCAAACAGGAUUAGAUACCCUGGUAGUCCACACCGUAAACGAUGAUUACUAGGUGUUGGAGGAUUGACCCCUUCAGUGCCGCAGUUAACACAAGAAGUAAUCCACCUGGGGAGUACGACCGCAAGCUUGCAA